UCGAGAAUUUUUCUCAAUGGGCGAAAGCUUGAAGGAGCGACGCCGCGUGGGGGAUGAAGGGCUUCGGCCUGUAAACCCCUGUCAUUUGCGAACAAACCUGCUCAUUUAAUAGAUGGGCAGCUGAUAGUAGCGAAAGAGGAAGGGACGGCUAACUCUGUGCCAGCAGCCGCGGUAAUACAGAGGUCCCAAGCGUUGUUCGGAUUCACUGGGCGUACAGGGUGCGGAGGUGGCGGUGCAAGUUGGAGGUGAAAUCUCCGGGCUUAACCCGGAAACUGCAUUGAAUACUGUAAUGCUAGGGGGUCGGAGGGAAGACUGGAAUUCUCGGUGUAGCAGUGAAAUGCGUAGAUAUCGAGAGGAACACCAGUGGCGAAAGCGAGUCUCUGGACGACUCCUGACACUGAGGCACGAAAGCUAGGGGAUCAAACA
RNAcentral lists this ribosomal RNA (426 nucleotides) under uncultured prokaryote. RNAcentral's name for it is "bacterial SSU rRNA". It matches the Rfam family "Bacterial small subunit ribosomal RNA", at positions 355 to 774 of the family's 1533-position model. The record is from RNAcentral.